UUGCAUAUCAAUAAGCGGAGGAAAAGAAACCAACAGGGAUUGCCUUAGUAACGGCGAGUGAAGCGGCAAGAGCUCAAAUUUGAAAUCUGGCACUUUCAGUGUCCGAGUUGUAAUUUGAAGAAGGCAGUCUUGGUAGUCAACCUUGUCUAUGUUCCUUGGAACAGGACGUCACAGAGGGUGAGAAUCCCGUGCGAUGAGGAUUGGCUGCUAUGUAAGGCGCUUUCGAAGAGUCGAGUUGUUUGGGAAUGCAGCUCUAAGUGGGUGGUAAAUUCCAUCUAAAGCUAAAUAUUGGCGAGAGACCGAUAGCGAACAAGUACAGUGAUGGAAAGAUGAAAAGAACUUUGAAAAGAGAGUGAAACAGUACGUGAAAUUGUUGAAAGGGAAGGGCUUGAGAUUAGACUUGGUUUUGCUCAAUCAUUUCUCCUUGUGGGAGGUGCUCUUGGCUUUACCGGGCCAGCAUCGGUUUUGAUGGUGGGAUAAUAGCGAUUGAAUGUGGCCCCUCGGGGUGUUAUAGCUUUCGUUGAUACCGCCUAUUGGGACCGAGGACUGCGUCUUUUGACAAGGAUGCUGGCGUAAUGAUCUUAAGCCGCCCGUCUUGAAACACGGACCA
RNAcentral lists this ribosomal RNA (610 nucleotides) under Limtongozyma cylindracea. RNAcentral describes it as "eukaryotic LSU rRNA". It matches the Rfam family "Eukaryotic large subunit ribosomal RNA", at positions 36 to 668 of the family's 3401-position model. Lineage: Eukaryota; Fungi; Ascomycota; Pichiomycetes; Serinales; Debaryomycetaceae. The record is from RNAcentral.